GGGAAGGUGGCUCAGUGGUAGAGUGCUUGCCUUGCAUGCAUGAGGCCUUGGGUUCAACUCCUCAGCACCUCA
Dipodomys ordii (Ord's kangaroo rat) is the source of this 72-nucleotide non-coding RNA. NCBI's taxonomy places the organism in Eukaryota, Metazoa, Chordata, Mammalia, Rodentia, Heteromyidae. The record is from Rfam.